RNAcentral lists this long non-coding RNA (227 nucleotides) under Eucalyptus grandis. Its description in RNAcentral is "long non-coding RNA (EGRA_LNC002559)". Lineage: Eukaryota; Viridiplantae; Streptophyta; Magnoliopsida; Myrtales; Myrtaceae. The record is from RNAcentral.
ACGCGUGUCGGAUUUUCCGACACGCGGUCAACUUUUCUCGACACGCGUGUCGAUGCGUGUCCGAAAGGCUGAUGGAGGGUGGAGGCGAGGGAGGGCGAGGGAGCAGAGGCCGCGAGCGCCGGCGAGACGAAGCCGCGACGGCGAGACGAAGCCACGACGGCGAGAGACGGCUAGAGAAAGAGCCGAACAGAGAGAAAGAAGAGAGAAGACAAACUCCCGCCGGCGAG